UGUUGUUUGUUUGCUUGUCGUUGGAUUCUUCUGGAUUUCACGACCAAACGCAGCCAGUAAUAGUUGAUAAUAGCUGAUAAUUCUAUCGAUUGAAAAUUGUAAUCGUUGGUGACAAUUGAUAUAAUUAGUCACCAAACUAACAACAUGCAAACAAACAAUUUUGGUCGCUAUUGCUGGUUGAUCAGGUCCAUAGGGAUGAGACAUGAUCAUGACCAAUAUGGGAUGGGGACUUGGUUACCAUUUC
Molecule: long non-coding RNA, 244 nt
Filed under: Arabidopsis thaliana (thale cress)
Lineage: Eukaryota; Viridiplantae; Streptophyta; Magnoliopsida; Brassicales; Brassicaceae
Description: ncRNA (AT2G08070)
Source: RNAcentral